GACGAACGCUGGCGGCGUGGAUUAGGCAUGCAAGUCGAACGGUAUCAUCCUUUCGGGGGUGAGAGAGUGGCGAACUGGUGAGUAACACGUAGGUUAUCUACCCUCAAGACGGGGGACAACCCAGGGAAACUUGGGCUAAUACCGGAUGUGAGCAACUUUUAGUUGUUUGAAAGGUGGCGUAAGCUGUCGCUUGGGGAUGAGCCUGCGUCCUAUUAGUUAGUUGGUGAGGUAACGGCUCACCUAGGCAAUGAUAGGUAGGCGGCCUUAACGGGUGGUCGCCCACACUGGGAUUGAGAUACGGCCCAGACUCCUACGGGAGGCAGCAGUCGAGAAUAGUCUACAAUGGUCGGAAGACUGAUAGUGCGACGCCGCGUGAACGAUGAAUCCCUUCGGGGUUAAAGUUCUUUUAUAUGUGAGCAGUGCUUCUUAUAUUAACAGUAUGGGGAAGAGAUAUUAGCAUAUGAAUAAGCAACGGCUAACUCCGUGCCAGCAGCCGACGGU
This 501-nucleotide ribosomal RNA is filed under the name uncultured bacterium. Its description in RNAcentral is "bacterial SSU rRNA". It matches the Rfam family "Bacterial small subunit ribosomal RNA", at positions 28 to 521 of the family's 1533-position model. The record is from RNAcentral.